Non-coding RNA from Mycena leptocephala, 96 nucleotides. The record is from the annotation of a GenBank genome assembly. Lineage: Eukaryota; Fungi; Basidiomycota; Agaricomycetes; Agaricales; Mycenaceae.
GGCUCGAUGGCAGAGUGGUAAUGCAUCCGCGUCUUUUAGACUGGAAGAGCCUUAUGGUUUCUGCGGAGGUCGCCUGUUCGAACCAGGCUCGAGCCA